UGAGGAAUAUUGGUCAAUGGGCGAGAGCCUGAACCAGCCAAGUCGCGUGAAGGAAGACUGCCCGCAAGGGUUGUAAACUUCUUUUGUAUGGGAUUAAAGUCACCUACGUGUAGGUUGUUGCAGUUACCAUACGAAUAAGCAUCGGCUAACUCCGUGCCAGCAGCCGCGGUAAUACGGAGGAUGCGAGCGUUAUCCGGAAUUAUUGGGUUUAAAGGGUGCGUAGGUUGCAAGGGAAGUCAGGGGUGAAAAGCUAUAGCUCAACUAUGGUCUUGCCUUUGAAACUCUCUAGCUAGAGUGUACUGGUGGUACGUGGAACGUGUGGUGUAGCGGUGAAAUGCAUAAAUAUCACACAGAACUCCGAUUGCGCAGGCAGCGUACUACAUUACAACUGACACUGAAGCACGAAAGCGUGGGUAUCAAACAGG
RNAcentral lists this ribosomal RNA (425 nucleotides) under Fusobacteriota bacterium. RNAcentral's name for it is "Fusobacteria bacterium partial 16S ribosomal RNA". It matches the Rfam family "Bacterial small subunit ribosomal RNA", at positions 355 to 776 of the family's 1533-position model. The record is from RNAcentral. Lineage: Bacteria; Fusobacteriati; Fusobacteriota.